Molecule: ribosomal RNA, 468 nt
Filed under: uncultured bacterium
Lineage: Bacteria
Description: partial 16S ribosomal RNA
Rfam family: Bacterial small subunit ribosomal RNA
Source: RNAcentral
GACGAACGCUGGCGGCGUGCUUAACACAUGCAAGUCGAACGGAAAGGCCCUGCUUUUGUGGGGUGCUCGAGUGGCGAACGGGUGAGUAACACGUGAGUAACCUGCCCUUGACUUUGGGAUAACUUCAGGAAACUGGGGCUAAUACCGGAUAGGAGCUCCUGCUGCAUGGUGGGGGUUGGAAAGUUUCGGCGGUUGGGGAUGGACUCGCGGCUUAUCAGCUUGUUGGUGGGGUAGUGGCUUACCAAGGCUUUGAUGGGUAGCCGGCCUGAGAGGGUGACCGGCCACAUUGGGACUGAGAUACGGCCCAGACUCCUACGGGAGGCAGCAGUGGGAAAUAUUGCACAAUGGGCGGAAGCCUGAUGCAGCAACGCCGCGUGCGGGAUGACGGCCUUCGGGUUGUAAACCGCUUUCGCCUGUGACGAAGCGUGAGUGACGGUAAUGGGUAAAGAAGCACCGGCUAACUACGUG